Non-coding RNA from Nylanderia fulva, 471 nucleotides. The record is from RefSeq and is a predicted model, not a curated record. Lineage: Eukaryota; Metazoa; Arthropoda; Insecta; Hymenoptera; Formicidae.
GAAAUAUUUCAGAAAGGCAUAAGGACAUAUGUAUAUAACUUAUCGCAUAGUGACUUUAUGGAAGUUAUGAGUCAUCCAGUUUUAAUAACAAAUGAUGAUAUUCUUUCACAACAAACAAAAAUAGAAGAUAUUGCUUUACAACUUACAAAAAUGAAAGAUUGGGCUUUGGAGAAGCAUUGUCCUCUCAUUAAAAUAGAACGUAAUUAUUUUAAUUCAAUGAGCCCAACAAAUGUACGGAUACAAUAUGACGACACAUUAAAAAUUCGCUGCAUUUCUGUAACUUUCACUACGCAAACAUUUCUCGAUUUUAAUAAUUUUACUCAUCAUAUGGUAUGCACGGAAAAGGAUUUAAAAUUAUCAUUACCAUUUGAAGAAAAUGGUUGGAUAAUUUUUAAUAUACAACAAACUGGAUAUUAUCGCGUUAACUAUGAUGAACAGAAUUGGCAAAGAAUUUCAACUUAUCUAAAAUCU